AUUUGGCUAACAUUGGACAGAACAGACAUUUGAAGUGACCCUUGUGUUGCGGCCUCGGUAGGAGAGCUGGCUCAGGCCCUGAGUACCCAUUCGGCUUCCUUUAUAACAGGUGUUAGGGGACUCAACUAGCUCUCUGUUACUCUCAGAUAUUUUCUAUUUGCAGCUCUACUCUGCAAAUUAAUUUUACCAACUACAGAUCUUCACUCAUCACUGAACACCAACUCAAGGAACCAAGCCUUGAUCCAUGAAUCUGAUUGACUUCCUAGACUUCCCCACUCUUGGUGCAGUUGGACCAAACUUUUCUUCGGUUAUCUCCCUAAAAUAGCAAUGAUUUGCUGACCACUUACCACCUACUCACCAGGAGUCACACCAUUAUUUUAAGGAAACACACA
RNAcentral lists this long non-coding RNA (392 nucleotides) under Phascolarctos cinereus (koala). RNAcentral's name for it is "lncRNA (ENSPCIG00000004583.2)". Lineage: Eukaryota; Metazoa; Chordata; Mammalia; Diprotodontia; Phascolarctidae. The record is from RNAcentral.